CCGGACGUACGAAGUAUGAAUUUAAUACCCGCAUCUUACCUCAUAGUUCGUGUGAUUAUCUCUCAAUUUCUGACUUGAAUCGGACUGAUCUCUUCGGGUCCCUGAAUAUACAUUUAUUUAUGCAGGUGACCCUAAGUUUACGUUCUACCGGCUCUCCUAUUCUUAGGGGUUAAAGAGAACACGCCAGUCCCUAAUUGGCGACGGCGGCCUCUUCAUACGGAGUCGGGAGUCCACUCCCUCUCAGCGACCCCUCGCAGCAGCGCCAACCUACCUGCGGCGGGAAAACGGAACACUGCCUCCUUCGGCGCCUACUCCCGCGCGACGCGGUACGCGCACGCGGACUCCCGCGACGGCAGCGCAACGGCGACACGGAGAAGGUCGGGGUCGGUAAGUAGGCGAGACCGGCAACGUAGGGCACCUACUCGUCGGCUCCGCGGACCUGCGCCCUCGGCGAUCGCUACAACGUCUAGCAAACUAGGUCACGUUCUUUUUGACUUGAAAAGAAGGAACCAGUUCCUAGAGAAGGCCAACUACGAAGUCGGUAGAUAAGUAGAGUGGUACAGGUGUAUGAUACACGUCUUUUCGUCAAUUAGAAGUCUAGUACCCUUCUUGUUUUUAAUUUGCCUUAAUCACAAAGGACUAACUAAAGGGCUACGAGCAAGUCCGUCAGCGACACGACUGCGGCAAAUUCCCAAGCACGAACUGAGUAACCGAUGUCGGCGGCGGCUGACCAUCCCAGGGCGACUACCACAGACGCGGUGGCCCUCCUCGCUCCGGCGUAGUGGGGCGCGGCCUCCUGCGGGGUACGCGGUCUCCCGCGGAGCACACCACGAAUACACGCCCACUGGCACGGCGGCCCGCUCCUGACGCCACAGCGCGCGGGCGGCCACCGGUGGCGCGACAUCCCGAUCUUGUCUCCGCAGAGGAUACGAAAACACCGGAAGUGUGAGAGCCAUCUCGGCUCACGACUAACAACAUUAUAGUUUCAUUUCCUCUGUUUCUUCUCUGUGUUUAUUAAGAGAAUCAGAUAACGUUCAGAUAACGUUACACACUCUGGGUGAGUAUAUGUCCGACUUCCCCACACAACCCCUCUGUGGAGAAAGGGUUGUCUAUGAAAAACCCUCCGUAAGGAGGGUAUAUUAACUAGUGUACAAAAUAAAAAAUUGUGAGG
RNAcentral lists this ribosomal RNA (1171 nucleotides) under Triticum aestivum (bread wheat). RNAcentral describes it as "partial small subunit ribosomal RNA". Lineage: Eukaryota; Viridiplantae; Streptophyta; Magnoliopsida; Poales; Poaceae. The record is from RNAcentral.